Non-coding RNA from Phalacrocorax carbo (great cormorant), 574 nucleotides. The record is from RefSeq and is a predicted model, not a curated record. Lineage: Eukaryota; Metazoa; Chordata; Aves; Suliformes; Phalacrocoracidae.
CCCAGAAUUCCUCUGGUGGAAUCUGAUAGCGGGGGGCUAGCUGGGCCAGAGGGUUACUGCUUUCCGCAUUAAAAAAAACAGGGAAAGGAGGCUUGGGCAGGGGAGGUUGAGGACUGUGUGUGAAAACCUGAAGAUCAAGGCUGUGCACAGCUGCUGUGGGGCUGGGAGCUUCCACCUGCUGCAGCAAAAUUCUUCAGCUGGGCCCUGGUCCUGGCCAGGCUCCUGCUUCCCAUGGUCAGAAGCCUCCCUCUAUCGACCAACAAUUCACUGUUCAAGAGAAGGAAGCUUUGAUUAGAAGCAAGAGGAGGAGCUGAUCUGCCAGGGCCUUCAAGCAAGAGCUGUGGAGAACUGAAUCAUCCAGGUCUAGCAUUCAGGGAUGACUGCAUAAUCUGGGCUGUACAAACGUAGUUGACAUUUAAAGUCACUCAGAACUACUAGGAGAAAUUUCCUGACCUGUUAUUUUAUAGUUACCUGGGGGAAGCACUCAGUAUACACUGAUAUGUACAAAUAGCCAUUUUGAUGGCUCCACAAAUAAAAGGCAAAAAAAAAAAAUCCAUUAAAUUCAAUAAAUAAA